RNAcentral lists this ribozyme (116 nucleotides) under Aedes aegypti (yellow fever mosquito). RNAcentral describes it as "drz-agam-1 ribozyme". It matches the Rfam family "drz-agam-1 ribozyme". The record is from Rfam by way of RNAcentral. Lineage: Eukaryota; Metazoa; Arthropoda; Insecta; Diptera; Culicidae.
UGCCCAGCAACUCCUAUUCCUAUCUCCUCGUGGUACUGGCCGGGAUACGAGCAACCUUAGGCAAGAUCGGGUAACACAUUCUGGUGAGAACUUUGGUCGUAUACUGACAGGGAAGG